Molecule: transfer RNA, 38 nt
Filed under: Leucanthemum vulgare
Lineage: Eukaryota; Viridiplantae; Streptophyta; Magnoliopsida; Asterales; Asteraceae
Also listed under: 1 other name
Description: partial tRNA-Leu
Source: RNAcentral
AAUCCGUCGAUUUCAAAAAUCAUGAGGGUUCAAGUCCC